RNAcentral lists this ribosomal RNA (430 nucleotides) under Pseudomonadota bacterium. RNAcentral describes it as "Proteobacteria bacterium partial 16S ribosomal RNA". It matches the Rfam family "Bacterial small subunit ribosomal RNA", at positions 355 to 776 of the family's 1533-position model. The record is from RNAcentral. Lineage: Bacteria; Pseudomonadati; Pseudomonadota.
UGGGGAAUAUUGGACAAUGGGGGGAACCCUGAUCCAGCCAUGCCGCGUGUGUGAAGAAGGCCUUAUGGUUGUAAAGCACUUUAAGCGAGGAGGAGGGUACUGGUAGUAAUACUACCAGCUACGGGACGUUACUCGCAGAAUAAGCACCGGCUAACUCUGUGCCAGCAGCCGCGGUAAUACAGAGGGUGCGAGCGUUAAUCGGAUUUACUGGGCGUAAAGCGCGCGUAGGUGGUUCGUUAAGUUGAAUGUGAAAGCCCCGGGCUCAACCUGGGAACUGCAUCCAAAACUGGCGAGCUAGAGUAGGGCAGAGGGUGGUGGAAUUUCCUGUGUAGCGGUGAAAUGCGUAGAUAUAGGAAGGAACACCAGUGGCGAAGGCGACCACCUGGGCUCAUACUGACACUGAGGUGCGAAGGCGUGGGGAGCAAACAGG